This 465-nucleotide ribosomal RNA is filed under the name uncultured bacterium. RNAcentral describes it as "partial 16S ribosomal RNA". It matches the Rfam family "Bacterial small subunit ribosomal RNA", at positions 339 to 795 of the family's 1533-position model. The record is from RNAcentral.
CUACGGGAGGCAGCAGUGAGGAAUUUUGCGCAAUGGGGGAAACCCUGACGCAGCAACGCCGCGUGAGUGAUGAAGGCCUUCGGGUCGUAAAGCUCUGUCAAGUGGGAAGAACCUAUCGAUAUUGAAUAUAUAUUGAUACUGACGGUACCACAAGAGGAAGCACCGGCUAACUCCGUGCCAGCAGCCGCGGUAAUACGGGGGGUGCAAGCGUUAUUCGGAAUCAUUGGGCGUAAAGGGCGCGCAGGCGGCCUUGUAAGUCAGAUGUGAAAGCCCGGGGCUCAACCCCGGAAGCGCAUUUGAAACUAUGAGGCUUGAGUAUGGGAGAGGGAAGUGGAAUUCCUGGUGUAGCGGUGAAAUGCGUAGAUAUCAGGAGGAACACCGGUGGCGAAGGCGACUUCCUGGACCAAUACUGACGCUGAGGCGCGAAGGCGUGGGGAGCAAACAGGAUUAGAUACCCCGGUAGUC